UUUAUGGAGAGUUUGAUCUUGGCUCAGGACGAACGCUGGCGGCGUGCCUAAUACAUGCAAGUCGAGCGCGGGAAGCAAGCAAUCGCCCUUCGGGGCGUGAGCUUGUGGAACGAGCG
RNAcentral lists this ribosomal RNA (116 nucleotides) under Terrihalobacillus insolitus. RNAcentral's name for it is "Bacterial small subunit ribosomal RNA". It matches the Rfam family "Bacterial small subunit ribosomal RNA", at positions 1 to 119 of the family's 1533-position model. Lineage: Bacteria; Bacillati; Bacillota; Bacilli; Caryophanales; Bacillaceae. The record is from Rfam by way of RNAcentral.